AGGGUUUGAUCAUGGCUCAGAUUGAACGCUGGCGGCAGGCUUAACACAUGCAAGUCGAGCGGUAACAGGGGAGCUUGCUCCUGCUGACGAGCGGCGGACGGGUGAGUAACGCGUAGGAAUCUACCUAGUAGAGGGGGACAACAUGUGGAAACGCAUGCUAAUACCGCACACGCCCUAAGGGGGAAAGGAGGGGACUUUUCGGAGCCUUCCGCUAUUAGAUGAGCCUGCGUAAGAUUAGCUAGUUGGUAGGGUAAAGGCCUACCAAGGCGACGAUCUUUAACUGGUCUGAGAGGAUGACCAGUCACACUGGGACUGAGACACGGCCCAGACUCCUACGGGAGGCAGCAGUGGGGAAUAUUGGACAAUGGGCGGAAGCCUGAUCCAGCCAUGCCGCGUGUGUGAAGAAGGCCUUAGGGUUGUAAAGCACUUUCAGGGGUGAGGAAGGGUAGCUAGCUAAUACCUAGUUAUCUUGACGUUAGCCCCAGAAGAAGCACCGGCUAACUCUGUGCCAGCCGCCGCGGUAAUAC
Molecule: ribosomal RNA, 527 nt
Filed under: uncultured bacterium
Lineage: Bacteria
Description: bacterial SSU rRNA
Rfam family: Bacterial small subunit ribosomal RNA
Source: RNAcentral